Vigna angularis (adzuki bean) is the source of this 90-nucleotide small nucleolar RNA. NCBI's taxonomy places the organism in Eukaryota, Viridiplantae, Streptophyta, Magnoliopsida, Fabales, Fabaceae. The record is from Rfam.
AAUGGGCAUGUGAUGAAUCUCAUCGUUAAAUGGGUAAUUUGCGUCUGAAAUUUUCAUUGAUGCUAUCACCUUGGAGAACUGAUGCUCUAU